RNAcentral lists this long non-coding RNA (518 nucleotides) under Homo sapiens (human). RNAcentral's name for it is "non-protein coding lnc-CTPS2-7:1". Lineage: Eukaryota; Metazoa; Chordata; Mammalia; Primates; Hominidae. The record is from RNAcentral.
CUUCCCUCUUUUCCUCAUUCGCCAGCUUUGUAGGUGACUGACCUAGUAGGCAUGUGGACGGUGUCUUUGUCACAGUCCUAGCCAGUCCCAUUUUAAGAUUGCCUCUAGGCAGCUUGGCUGGUGACUUAGUCUCGCCUUUUCAGGUCCCGCAGGGCUGCGUUCCCGCAGAAUUGGAUGUCUUUAGCCUCCUCCUGAGCCCAAUUCAAAACUAACCCAAAGCCGCCAAGCCCAACAGGGAAUAAGAGGACAGAAUAAGGUGUUAAACAACACAAUGGGAUGCUGUCAGCAGAAUCUAGACUAUGAGAAGCCACAGGACAGACAACCUUGUUUCUUCAAAUAAAUUGCAAGGAAGAGAGGAGUGUGGUGGGGAACCUAUAGAUUAAAAAAGACUUAAGAGAUGUAACACAUGGCCCCUUGUGCAUUUUAUUAGGAUCCUAAUUCAGCAAACACAUUGAAAAAAAUAGUAUGAUACUUAUUAUAAGAACUGGAAAUUUGGACACUGGGUAGUUGAUAAAAUU